AGUGAACGCUGGCGGUAGGCCUAACACAUGCAAGUCGAACGGCAGCACAGUAAGAGCUUGCUCUUACGGGUGGCGAGUGGCGGACGGGUGAGGAAUACAUCGGAAUCUACUUUUUCGUGGGGGAUAACGUAGGGAAACUUACGCUAAUACCGCAUACGACCUACGGGUGAAAGCAGGGGAUCUUCGGACCUUGCGCGAUUGAAUGAGCCGAUGUCGGAUUAGCUAGUUGGUGGGGUAAAGGCCCACCAAGGCGACGAUCCGUAGCUGGUCUGAGAGGAUGAUCAGCCACACUGGAACUGAGACACGGUCCAGACUCCUAAGGGAGGCAGCAGUGGGGAAUAUUGGACAAUGGGCGCAAGCCUGAUCCAGCCAUACCGCGUGGGUGAAGAAGGCCUUCGGGUUGUAAAGCCCUUUUGUUGGGAAAGAAAAGCAGCAGGUUAAUACCCCGCUGUUCUGACGGUACCCAAAGAAUAAGCACCGGCUAACUUCGUG
RNAcentral lists this ribosomal RNA (492 nucleotides) under uncultured bacterium. RNAcentral describes it as "partial 16S ribosomal RNA". It matches the Rfam family "Bacterial small subunit ribosomal RNA", at positions 29 to 507 of the family's 1533-position model. The record is from RNAcentral.